Molecule: ribosomal RNA, 417 nt
Filed under: uncultured bacterium
Lineage: Bacteria
Description: bacterial SSU rRNA
Rfam family: Bacterial small subunit ribosomal RNA
Source: RNAcentral
UAUUGGUCAAUGGGCGGGAGCCUGAACCAGCCAAGUCGCGUGAAGGAAGAAGGAUCUAUGGUUCGUAAACUUCUUUUGCAGGGGAAUAAAGUGCGGGACGUGUCCUGUUUUGUAUGUACCCUGAGAAUAAGGAUCGGCUAACUCCGUGCCAGCAGCCGCGGUAAUACGGAGGAUCCGAGCGUUAUCCGGAUUUAUUGGGUUUAAAGGGUGCGUAGGUGGUUUGAUAAGUCAGCGGUGAAAGUUUGCAGCUUAACUGUAAAAAUGCCGUUGAAACUGUCGGACUUGAGUGUAAAUGAGGUAGGCGGAAUGCGUGGUGUAGCGGUGAAAUGCAUAGAUAUCACGCAGAACUCCGAUUGCGAAGGCAGCUUACUAAGCUACAACUGACACUGAAGCACGAAAGCGUGGGGAUCAAACAGG